AGCAAAACAACAACAAAAUUAAACAGCAACGGGUACUUGAUUUAAUUGAUAAAAUAAAUGCAUUCAUUUUUUUUUGUUGUUUAAGUUUAAAUUUGUCAAAAUACUGUAAAAAACAUAAUUUCUAUUAACUCAUUAAGUCCUAUAUAAAUAAAUCGAUUGUUGUUUACAUUUAAAUUUGUUGAAAAACUAUAAGAAAAUAAUUUUUAUAAAUUCAUUAAACCUAACUUAAAUAAUCCUUCUUGAAUCAAUCCAAAAAAAUUCAUAUAUAAAGAAAACCCCAAAAAUCAGAAGCUUUGUGUUCUUAAACUGGGUUUCUCUGGGAUUACAAAAGAGUUUAGGGUUUGUUGGGUUCUGGAACUGAAUCUAAUUUUUAGUAUUUAUGGAUUUGUUUAACACUUUAAUUUCUGGGUUAUUGGUUUGUUAAUUUGAUUUUUUUAACUGGGUUUUGAUCUUUAGUUUUGCUUCUAAUCUGUUGGAGUCUGGUUUUGCUGAAUUUAUUUGUUUUUUGGAAAUUUCUAACCAAUCUAGGUUUAUUGGGUUCAGUUGAAUUUCAAGAUAAGAUUUUGAAGUUUUCAAUUAUCAGCCGAUAGUGGUUGGCAACGAUGUGCUGUUGCAGCGUGGCGAAGUUCAACCAAAAUCGGAGAGGCACGAUUGCUGUUCUUAAUUUUUUUAGAGAGAAGUUAAAGGAAAUUAUCCUAGAUAAAGAGAGG
This 710-nucleotide long non-coding RNA is filed under the name Durio zibethinus. RNAcentral's name for it is "long non-coding RNA (DZIB_LNC001871)". Lineage: Eukaryota; Viridiplantae; Streptophyta; Magnoliopsida; Malvales; Malvaceae. The record is from RNAcentral.